AUUGAACGCUGGCGGCAGGCCUAACACAUGCAAGUCGAACGAGGGGCGGACGGGUGAGUAAUGUCUGGGAAACUGCCUGAUGGCGGGGGAUAACUACUGGAAACGGUAGCUAAUACCGCAUACCAUCAGAUGUGCCCAGAUGGGAUUGGCUUGUUGGUGGGGGAACGGUUCACCAGGGCGACGAUCCCUAUCUGGUCUGAGAGGAUGACACACCACACUGGAACUGGGGCACAGUCCGAUCUCCUACGGGAGGCAGCAGUGGAGAAUAUUGCACAAUAUGCGCAAGCCGGAUGCAGCCAGGCCGCGUAGAGGAAGGAGGCCUUCGGUUUGUAAAGGACUUUCAGCGGGGAGGCGUUACCCGCAGAAGAGUCACCGGCAAACUCCGUGCCAGCAGCCGCGGUAAUAC
Molecule: ribosomal RNA, 406 nt
Filed under: uncultured bacterium
Lineage: Bacteria
Description: partial 16S ribosomal RNA
Rfam family: Bacterial small subunit ribosomal RNA
Source: RNAcentral